Molecule: long non-coding RNA, 629 nt
Filed under: Homo sapiens (human)
Lineage: Eukaryota; Metazoa; Chordata; Mammalia; Primates; Hominidae
Description: HSALNT0292575
Source: RNAcentral
AGAACAAUGCGGGAGUUGCAGAGAGAGGUGUCCUGUGUUUGUUCCCAGUCUUCCUUCACUCACCUGCACCUGCUCCUGCCCUGCUUCGGCCAACAUGUUCUAUGCAGCUGCUCACUGAUGUCACUUAGAGGAAGGCAGGGGCACAAGAUGGGAGGACCCAGAGCUCCGGGUUCUUAAUGAAUUUUUGCCACCUUCAAUGAGAAAGACUGAAACAAAAAACUCAGAAGAAAGAAAGAGACUGAGAUAGCAAAUAUGACAAACUGUUAAAAAUUCAUGAAUCUGUUAUGGAAUACUAUGCAGCCAUAAAAAAGGAUGAGUUCCUGUCCUUUGCAAGGACGUGUAUGAAGCUGGAAACCAUCAUUCUGAGCAAACUAAAACAGGAACAGAAAACCAAACACCACAUGUUCUCACUCAUAAGUGGGAGUUGAACAAUGAGAACACAUGGACACGGCGGGGUGGUGGGAACAUCACACACCGGGGCCUGUCAGAGGGGAGGGGGCUAGGGGAGAGAUAGCAUUAGGAGAAAUACCUAAUGUAGAUGAUGGGUUGAUGGGUGCAGCAAACCACCAUGGCAUGUGUAUACCUAUGUAACAAACCUGCAUGUUCUGCACAUGUAUCCCAGAACUUAA